Molecule: long non-coding RNA, 304 nt
Filed under: Hordeum vulgare
Lineage: Eukaryota; Viridiplantae; Streptophyta; Magnoliopsida; Poales; Poaceae
Description: long non-coding RNA (HVUL_LNC011729)
Source: RNAcentral
CAGAGGUUAUCAGGUGGCACGAUACUGUUAUUCUACCCCUCUGAUGUUAAACGAGAAGGCGGAGUACUUUGUAUGACUUAGUGUUGGUGGACUUGAGUCAUAGGAUAAUCCGUACUAUCAAGAGGGGGCCCGCAAUUGGAAAUGUUGGGAGAAUCUCUCAUGUACACAUUCUUCUCCUUCUUUCCUUCCCAACACUUUGGAGCUGUUUUCUGUCCUUAGGAUCAUGUGCACCUUCAUAAGCGGUAGUACCACUACCAUGGGCGGUAGUACCGCUCAAGUGGUAGUGCCGCCCUGCAGUAUCGAG